Molecule: ribosomal RNA, 467 nt
Filed under: uncultured bacterium
Lineage: Bacteria
Description: partial 16S ribosomal RNA
Rfam family: Bacterial small subunit ribosomal RNA
Source: RNAcentral
GACGAACGCUGGCGGCGUGCUUAACACAUGCAAGUCGAACGGAAAGGCCUCUUUCGGGGGGUACUCGAGUGGCGAACGGGUGAGUAACACGUGAGUAACCUGCCCUUGACUUUGGGAUAACUUCAGGAAACUGGGGCUAAUACCGGAUAGGAGCUCCUGCUGCAUGGUGGGGGUUGGAAAGUUUCGGCGGUUGGGGAUGGACUCGCGGCUUAUCAGCUUGUUGGUGGGGUAGUGGCUUACCAAGGCUUUGACGGGUAGCCGGCCUGAGAGAGUGACCGGCCACAUUGGGACUGAGAGACGGCCCAGACUCCGACGGGAGGCAGCAGUGGGGAAUAUUGCACAAUGGGUGGAAGCCUGAUGCAGCAACGCCGUGUGCGGGAUGACGGCCUUCGGGUUGUAAACCGCUUUCGCUCAUGACGAAGCUUUGUGUGACGGUAGUGGGUAAAGAAGCACCGGCUAACUACGUG